Molecule: transfer RNA, 61 nt
Filed under: Fukomys damarensis (Damara mole-rat)
Lineage: Eukaryota; Metazoa; Chordata; Mammalia; Rodentia; Bathyergidae
Rfam family: tRNA
About the family: Transfer RNA (tRNA) molecules are approximately 80 nucleotides in length. Their secondary structure includes four short double-helical elements and three loops (D, anti-codon, and T loops).
Source: Rfam by way of RNAcentral
UGUAGCUCAGUGGUAGAGUGCUUGCCUAGAAUGUGUGAGGUCCUGGGUUUGAUUCCCAGCA